This 76-nucleotide non-coding RNA is filed under the name Rhizobium metallidurans. The record is from RNAcentral. Lineage: Bacteria; Pseudomonadati; Pseudomonadota; Alphaproteobacteria; Hyphomicrobiales; Rhizobiaceae.
AGGAGCCGGAUGAUGGGAAACUAUCAAGUCCGGUUCCGUGGGAGGGAGAGAGGGCCGCGUCAACGACCGACCUCCU